UCGAGCGAAAGCGAGAAAGCGUUGCCGCAGGCAACGACCCGAAGGGCGAAGCGCGCAGCGCUGAGUCAUCCUUCCCCCACCACCA
Molecule: small RNA, 85 nt
Filed under: Salmonella enterica subsp. enterica serovar Infantis
Lineage: Bacteria; Pseudomonadati; Pseudomonadota; Gammaproteobacteria; Enterobacterales; Enterobacteriaceae
Also listed under: 1 other name
Description: partial RtT sRNA
Rfam family: RtT RNA
About the family: This family represents a bacterial cis-regulatory element known as RtT RNA. The exact function of RtT is unknown although it is thought that it may be involved in changing the cellular response in relation to amino acid starvation.
Source: RNAcentral